CCAGUACAGAGUCAAUGUGGAGGCUAUAUACAGGGGGUACCAGUACAGAGUCAAUGUGGAGGCUAUAUACAGGGGGUACCAGUACAGAGUCAAUGUGGAGGCUAUAUACAGGAGGUACCAGUACAGAGUCAAUGUGGAGGCUAUAUACAGGGGUACCGGUACAGAGUCAAUGUGGAGGCUUUAUACAGGAGGUACCAGUACAGAGUCAAUGUGGAGGCUAUAUACAGGGGUACUGGUACAGAGUCAAUGUACAGAGUCAAUGUGGAGGCUAUAUACAGGGGUACCGGUACAGAGUGAAUGUGGAGGCUAUAUACAGGUGGUACCGGUACAGAGUCAAUGUGGAGGCUAUAUACAGGAGGUACCAGUACAGAGUCAAUGUGGAGGCUAUAUACAGGGGUACCGGUACAGAGUCAAUGUGGAGGCUUUAUACAGGAGGUACCAGUACAGAGUCAAUGUGGAGGCUAUAUACAGGGGUACUGGUACAGAGUCAAUGUACAGAGUCAAUGUGGAGGCUAUAUACAGGGGUACCGGUACAGAGUGAAUGUGGAGGCUAUAUACAGGUGGUACCGGUACAGAGUCAAUGUGGAGGCUAUAUACAGGGGUACUGGUACAGAGUCAAUGUGGAGGCUAUAUACAGGGGGUACCGGUACAGAGUCAAUGUACAGAGUCAAUGUGGAGGCUAUAUAAGUAAUAUGUACAUGUAGGUGGAGUUGUUAAAGUGACUAUGCAUAGAUAAUAACAGAGUAGCAGCAGCAUAGAAGAGGGGGGGAGAGACAAUGCAAAUAGUCUGUAAAGCCAUUUGAUACAAUUUUCAGGAGUCUUAUGUCUUGGGGGUAGAAGCUGUUUAGAAGCCUCUUGAACCUAGACUUGGGGCACCGGUACCACUUGCCGUGCGGUAGCAGAGAGAACAGUCUGACUAGGGUGGCUGGAGUCACUGACAAUUUUUAGGGCCCUCUUCUGACACCGCCUGGAAUCAGAAGUCCUGGAUGGCAGGAAGCUUGGCACCAGUGAUGUACUGGGCCGUAGGCACUACCCUCUGUCGUGCCUUGUGGUUAGAGGCCAAGCAGUUGCCAUACCAGGGAGUGUUGCAACCCGUCAGGAUGCUCUCGAUGGUGCAGCUGUAGAACCUUUUGAGGAUCUGAGUACCCAUACCAAAUCUUAGAAAUACAGCUAAACCUAGGGUAUGGCUAAAUGGGGUGUGUAGAAAUACAGCUAAACUAGGGGUAUGGCUAAAUGGGGUGUGUAGAAAUACAUGUGGGGGUCAGGGAGAGAGUAGAGUUAUGUACUAGACUGGUGGGGGUCAGGAAGAGAGUUAUUUAUAUACUAGACUGGUGGGGGUCAGGGAGAGAGUUGAGUUAUGUACUAGACAGGUGGGGGUCAGGGAGAGAGUUGAGUUAUGUACUAGACUGGUGGGGGUCAGGGAGAGAGUUGAGUUAUGUUCUAGACUGGUGGGGGUCAGGGAGAGAGUUG
RNAcentral lists this long non-coding RNA (1470 nucleotides) under Salmo salar (Atlantic salmon). Its description in RNAcentral is "lncRNA (ENSSSAG00000121474.1)". Lineage: Eukaryota; Metazoa; Chordata; Actinopteri; Salmoniformes; Salmonidae. The record is from RNAcentral.